RNAcentral lists this ribosomal RNA (395 nucleotides) under Oxysternon silenus. RNAcentral's name for it is "eukaryotic LSU rRNA". Lineage: Eukaryota; Metazoa; Arthropoda; Insecta; Coleoptera; Scarabaeidae. The record is from RNAcentral.
AAGAGAGAGUUCAAGAGUACGUGAAACCGUUCAGGGGUAAACCUGAGAAACCCGAAAGGUCGAAAGGGGAGAUUCAACGCGAAUCGGAGUUCGCGAGCGGCGCGUGCCGACGACGGGCGGCCCCGUUUCACGGUGGCUAGCCCGCUCCGCGCGUCGACCGAUCGGACACCGAACGCGUGCACUUCUCCUCCUGUAGGACGUCACGACCCGUUGGGCGCCGGCCUAAGGACCGCGGUGGAGACCGGACUCGCCCCCGGGCGAGUCCGGACCCGCGGCCACCCGGCCGGCUCGACCGACGGUACAACUAAGGCGCGGGGCCGCGAUUCGUUCGCGUCCGGCACGUCGCAAGCGCGAACGGUUAAAGCGGGCCGUCCGGGCCUCGUACCGGAUCCCGA